GGCUGUUAAGUACCUUCCAUGACGAGGAUCAGCCGCGCACAUCAUGUUUUUGGAAUCCCACAUUUGUUGAGUUAGCUCGGGGAUCGUUAAAGCUCGGUAUUGUUGUGAACCCCGGGAUGUUAAAGGUGCAAAACCAACCAUGAAAAAAUGGAGGCGUGGGAAUGGGAUCAAGUUUACUGCUAGUUUUCGAAGAUCGGAAUUGAGUUGGCCAGGGAAGCGAAGGCAGCAUGUGACUCCACUCAUGGUUGUUGAAAUCAAAUGGUUCAAGUCACCAACUGUUCAUAUAUAUACAUAAACGCACGAAAAUAAGUCAUAUAUAGAUAUGAUUGGUAGCAAUUAUGUUUGACUCGGAUCGGAAAUCAAUUGAGAUUUCAGUUUAAAGAAUGGUAUUGGAUUGGUUGAAUUGGCGAUUGAACUAGUUGAAUCGAUUUUUAAAUUUAUUUGAAUUUAUAUAAAAUUUAAAUUAAACCGAGCAAUUAUGUUUGACUCGGAUCGGAAAUCAAUUGAGAUUUCAGUUUAAAGAAUGGUAUUGGAUUGGUUGAAUUGGCGAUUGAACUAGUUGAAUCGAUUUUUAAAUUUAUUUGAAUUUAUAUAAAAUUUAAAUUAAAUCGAUUAAACAGAUAAAUUGAUAAAUUAACCGAUUCGAUUGCAGAUCUAAUUUUAAAAGCAUUAAUAAUUAAUUUUGCAAUUUCAUGAUUGAAGUGAUUGCAUGUGCACAAGAUAAAAAGUAAUUCCAAUAAUACACUAACCUAAAUCUUAAACCCAAAGGAGUAACAUUUUAGAAUUAAUACUACCUCUCUUUGCCAACAAUAUCUUAACUUAUUGACAAGAACAUUAUAUUAUAGAUAGGGGAGUUUAGAUUUGAUGUCUAAGUAAUUUCAUUUUUCUUUCUCGAUUAUAAGAAAGAAAAAAGUUUAAUACCUCCUUUGACCCCUGUAUUACCAUUUUGGUACUUUUUUCUGUUAAAAAAAAUAUUAAGUCAACCCAUGAAAUAAUGUCAUGUGAUAAAGAAAAAAAAUUAAAAAGAAAUACUUAAAAAUUUUAGAAAACGUCAGAAAAAUUUUCAAAAUCUAAAAAAGCCCAAAAAUCUUAAGACUUAGAAAAUUAUAAAAAUAAAAUAAAUCAUAAUUUAUUUUAGAAAAUUAUAAAAAUAUUUUUAAAAUUUAUAAGUAUGAAAAAAUUCAAUAAAUAAAUAAAUUUGAAAAUUUUGUUUGGUUAGAAUUUUUGGUUAUAUAUAUAUAUAUUUUUUUUGAAAAUUUAAGGAUUUUUUAUGAAUUUUUUGAUAUUUUUAAGGAAUUCUGCGUUUUUUUUACAUGUGAUAGUAUUUGACUUGAUGGGGAGAUUUUUUAACCAAAAAUAUAGAUGGGGACCAAACUGAUAAAAAAAAUAUAAAUAUCAGAGUAAUAAUUUAACUAUAGUACAAAAGCCAAAAGAGGUAUUAAUCCAUAAUUUUAUGAUAACUAAGGAUUGUCCUUUUUCUCGUUUGUUUGCUAGCAUAUUAUAUCUUGUAUGAAAAUGAAGAUGCGGAUUAAAACUAAGACAAGUUGUAGAACAUUUUGGACUUACAGCUGGGAUUUGUGAGCUUAAGAGUUCUGAAGCAGAUAUCAUAAAGAGCUUCAUUGUCAAGGACCAUGCAUUCAUCAGCAUUUUCCACAAGCUGGUGCACUGACAGGGUCGCAUUAUAGGGUUCAACCACAGUAUCCGAUACUUUAGGUGAUGGAAACACCGAGAACGUUAGCAUCAUCCGGUCAGGGUAUUCUUCCCUGAUCUUUGAUAUCAACAAUGUCCCCAUCCCUGACCCUGUUCCACCUCCCAGUGAAUGGCAAACCUGAAAACCUGCUCAUUAUAAAGUUCCAUUAGCCAACACACCCAAAACCAAAAACAAGAAAGCAUUCAAACGUGUAAUUUACCUUGUAAACAAUCACAAUUCUCAGCCUCUUUACGAACAACAUCAAGAACUGAAUCAAUCAAUUCAGCUCCUUCAGUAUAAUGUCCCUUAGCCCAGUUAUUGCCAGCUCCAUUUUGGCCGAACACAAAGUUAUCUGGUCUAAACAAUUUUCCAUAAGGACCUGUUCGUAAACUGUCCAUAGUUCCUGGCUCAAGAUCCAUUAACACAGCUCUAGGCACAUAUCUGCCACCACUGGCUUCAUUAUAGUAAACAUUAAGCCUUUCAAGCUGAACAGGCGAAGUGCCGACAUAGUUACCAGUGGCAUCAAUGCCAUGUUCAUCACAUACUACCUCCCAAAACUUGCCACCAAUUUGAUUACCACACUGACCGGCUUGAACAUGGAGGAUUUCUCUCAUUGUUAUGGUAUUGGGAUUUUCUUUUUCUUUUUUUCUUUUAUAAAACAAAGAAAGAAAAAGAUAAUAAGAGAGAGAGAGCAGUGUGAGC
Molecule: long non-coding RNA, 2392 nt
Filed under: Gossypium barbadense (sea-island cotton)
Lineage: Eukaryota; Viridiplantae; Streptophyta; Magnoliopsida; Malvales; Malvaceae
Description: long non-coding RNA (GBAR_LNC007691)
Source: RNAcentral